AAAAGCUCCAGGAGGGCAAGGUGACCCUUGACUUACUCCUCAGACAGCUAUUAAACAGGCAAGAAGCCGAAGGAGUACCUUUACUUCAUCACUUUCCUGCUCUUGGAGGACUUUUACAGAACAUCAGGAUUCACAUAUAAAGUUCUCCAUAGUGAAAAUAUGGACCACAAAUUGUUUUUUGGCAUAACCUUGAUGGUGGGAUCUUGGAUGCUGGAUGGAACGGCAAGCCAAGUUUCCGCACAGUCUUUCACAACAAACAUCACCAACACAGCCUGUGGAAACACCAAGCAGUGUCUGAGCAGCCCGAUGUCCUGCAACCCAAUGGGCAACACAUCGUGUCUGUUUGCCUCCGUCUCGCUGCAAGGAAACAACAUGACUGUGGAGCUUCAAGGGUAUUCUCCUGGGUACAUCGCACUGGGACUCAACGCUGCAAACGCAACACAAAACGCUACGGUGUUUGCCUGUGCCAAUAUAAACAGCAACGUCUCCUUAUUCACCACCAUGUUCACCAACAGCUCCCUGGUCCAAAUGAGCACAGUUAAUGUGAGCUCAAUUCAGGGCUCAGCCAAGGGGACCCUCCUUCAGUGCAUCUUCAGUGUCACUAACUUCAGCUCCUUGCUCAUGAUCAGUGGUGGUGUCACUAGCGUUUAUGGCUUCCUCGCUACUGGGAAUGUCACCAACGGAACACUGCAAGCUCCAGUCAUACAGCUGCAACCUAGUCUGCUGAUCUUGUCUAACAUCUCCACCACUACUGCUUCCCCAACCACCAGCAGCAGCCCUCCAAUCUCCAUUGUCACACAGUCUCUCACUAAAAACAUCACCAACGCAGACUGUGGGAAGACCAAGCGGUGUCUCAGCUUUCCAGAAUCCUGCAACCCAGCGGGCAGCACACCUUGUCUUUUCACCUCCACCAACUUCACAGCACAGGGCAACGUGGCCUUUGAGCUCCGAGGGGAGUCCCCAUCCCCUGGGUACAUCGCAGUGGGACUGAGCAACAGAAGCUCAUUGCAAAAUGGCUUAAUGUUUGCCUGCGCCCAACAAAAUAGCACCAUCUCCAUCUACAACAUCCUGGUGAAAAAUAAUGAGCUGUUCCAGAACAACAUGGUCAGUCUGAGCUCAGGUCAGGGCUCCUUCAGCAGGAACAUCACUCAGUGCACCUUCACUGCCAACUUCAGCUCUGCAGUCUUAACUCGAGCAUCUACCUUGAGCUUUUACGUCUUGCUUGCUAAUGGCACCAUCAUCAAUGGAACACUGCAGGCACCAAAUGUUCAGCUGUCCUCAAACCUCGUGGACCUUUCAACUAGUGGCAGCACUUCACCUAUUUACUCUAUCUUGGCUCUGCUAAUACCACUCAGUGUGGUGACCUUUCAGCUGUUUUGAGGACCUGAAAACAACCAGAUGAAGACAACAGGGUGAUCAAU
Molecule: long non-coding RNA, 1421 nt
Organism: Scleropages formosus (Asian bonytongue)
Lineage: Eukaryota; Metazoa; Chordata; Actinopteri; Osteoglossiformes; Osteoglossidae
Source: Ensembl